GACGAACCGAGCGAACGUUGUUCGGAAUCACUGGGCUUAAAGGGCGCGUAGGCGGGCUGCCGCGUCCGGGGUGAAAUCCUCCGGCUCAACCGGGGAACGGCCUCGGAUACGGGCGGCCUCGAGGGGGGUAGGGGCAUGCGGAACUGUGAGUGGAGCGGUGAAAUGCGUUGAUAUUCACAGGAACUCCGGUGGCGAAGGCGGCGUGCUGGACCCCAUCUGACGCUGAGGCGCGAAAGCCAGGGGAGCAAACGGG
This 253-nucleotide ribosomal RNA is filed under the name uncultured bacterium. Its description in RNAcentral is "partial 16S ribosomal RNA". It matches the Rfam family "Bacterial small subunit ribosomal RNA", at positions 524 to 776 of the family's 1533-position model. The record is from RNAcentral.